AUACGUAGGGGGCGAGCGUUGUCCGGAAUGAUUGGGCGUAAAGGGCGCGUAGGCGGCCCGGUAAGUCUGGAGUGAAAGUCCUGUUUUUAAGAUGGGAAUUGCUUUGGAUACUGUCGGGCUUGAGUGCAGGAGAGGUAAGUGGAAUUCCCAGUGUAGCGGUGAAAUGCGUAGAGAUUGGGAGGAACACCAGUGGCGAAGGCGACUUACUGGACUGUAACUGACGCUGAGGCGCGAAAGUGUGGGGAGCAAACAGGAUUAGAUACCCUGGUAGUCCACACUGUAAACGAUGAAUCCUAGGUGUAGGGGGUAUCGACCCCUUCUGUGCCGCAGUCAACACAAUAAGCAUUCCGCCUGGGGAGUACGGCCGCAAGGUUGAAACUCAAAUGAAUUGACGGGG
RNAcentral lists this ribosomal RNA (397 nucleotides) under uncultured bacterium. Its description in RNAcentral is "partial 16S ribosomal RNA". It matches the Rfam family "Bacterial small subunit ribosomal RNA", at positions 523 to 918 of the family's 1533-position model. The record is from RNAcentral.